UUUUUUUUUAAUCCAAAAUUAAUUAGAACUCUUAAUUAGAGUUCAUAAGAGUCAUUCCUGAAAAAUGUUGUUUACAUAAGUGAUAUGAUGCGGUUGGACACGAACUUUAUGUGCCAAAUUAUCCGUUUUGACAUUUGCACUAUUCGUAAUAAUUUUUGAUAUAUAUA
Molecule: small RNA, 167 nt
Filed under: Arabidopsis thaliana (thale cress)
Lineage: Eukaryota; Viridiplantae; Streptophyta; Magnoliopsida; Brassicales; Brassicaceae
Description: ATSL028700
Source: RNAcentral